RNAcentral lists this long non-coding RNA (271 nucleotides) under Mytilus galloprovincialis (Mediterranean mussel). Lineage: Eukaryota; Metazoa; Mollusca; Bivalvia; Mytilida; Mytilidae. The record is from RNAcentral.
UUAGACUAAUGCUGUAACAUAAAAGGUCGGUUUCAUAUACAUGUAGUUUAAAAUUGACCGAAGCCUUCGGGAUCCUAGCUUAAAUCCUGCAGGUGACUUAAUAGUAUGUCAAUCUAAAGAUUGCUUCCGAACUGAUUGGAAAAGGAAAGAAAAAUAAUACAUGUUCAUCAGAAUAAUUCGUUAUUCUAUUUGAAAUACGAAAUACCAUUUAUGUAUCAGGUCCUUUUAAUGUUUUACUUUAUCGCUCUUUCACAAUGAAUUGAUUAUCCAG